CACUGUCUUUUUUAACAGACGAGAAAACUGAGACCCAGAUAAUUUAUGCCCAAGUCAUACUUCUAAUAUGUGUUGAAGUUAGGACUAAACCAGAAAGUUUGGCUUCAGAGUCCACACAUGUUUCUGUAUACCUCUAGAAUACAUGGUCAAUGUAUUCAGAUUAUCAACUGUUUUUAUUUGGAGAGCUCAAAGAAAAGUAGAGAAAAUACAACCCAUAUCCACAGAGCCAAAUGGACAAGUCUAAAGUCUAAGGGGCUCCAUGGUGCUGUCCUCACCAUACAUAGAAUUUCUUCAUUUGUCACAAAUGGCAAUGAGGACAAAGUAGAGGCCAAAAUCAAGCAUCUUUCAGUUCAAGCUUCAGGAGAAGGGAGAAGGGACAAGAAAGAGGAUAAGAUGAAGUGGUGGGAUCUAAAGCCCUGCAAGGCCUGAAUGUGUCCCCUUGAAAUGUAUAUGUUGAGACAACUACCAGUGUAAUAGUAUUAAGAGGUGGGCCUUUAGGAGAUGAUUAAGUCAUGAGGGUGGAGGCCUCCUAGAUGGGAUUAGUGCCCUUAUAAAACAGCUGCAGCAGAGCUUGCUUGCCCCUUCCACCUUGUGAGGACACAGCAAGGGGCACCAUCUAUGAAGUACAGAGUGGGCCCUCACCAGACGCCAAAUCUGCCUGCGCCUUGAUCUUGGACUUCCAGCCUCCAAAACUGAGAAAUAAAUGUCUAUUACCUACAAAUUACCCAGUCUAAGGUGUUUUGUUACAGUGUCUCUAGUAAACUAAGGCAAGCCCCAGCUGGAAACAUCCAUCUCUGCUAAAAGUGCCACAGGACCUGGAAUGAGUAACAGACUCUUUUCACAUCUUAUCUGCAAGAAGCUGGGUUCUGUGUUUGUCUCAGCCUGGCCCUGCUCUCAAGGUUAGCAUUGCACAACUGGAGGAGGUUUUGGUGACUUCUGUUGCCCACCUUGUUCUCUCAGUAGAAGAGCCAGACCCCAGAGAAGGGAAGAACACCAGGUUCACAGUGGAGAGAGAACAACCCCCCAUUCUCCUGCUGAGGCUGCACUAGGGGUGAACCCCACCCCACCCUGUCCUCUGGGAAGCCCCUCCUGACUCCUCCCUCUGCAGUCAGGCUGUUUCCAUUCACAGCAUGUAGUCACAGCACCAUUCCCAGUAUAUUUUUGGACACUAGUCCUGGCUGCAUUGCCAGGAUAUGGGGCCCUUGGGUUUUCCCUCUGCUACAGUGCUGGCCUGGCUGGAUGGAAAAACAGGUAGGCAAGGGUUCACCCCUGAGGAUAAAAGGGAUAUAAGCCUGUGGCCAUCCUGGGGGUUAUAAGCCUCUCCACUCCUGUCUUUUUCUGUGGCAUAUAACAGAGCACUCGAAACCAGGCAUUUAUUAUUUUCUUCUGGAGGCCAAGAAAUCCAAGGUGGAGGGGCCACAUCUAGUGGGGCUGUCUUGCUGGUGGGGACUCUCUAUAGAGUCCUGAGGCAGCACAGAGCAUCAAAUGGCAAGGGGGCUGAGCAUGCUCACCUGCUAGCUCAGGUCUCGCUUCCUUUUUUAUGAAGACAUCAGUCCCACUCCUAUGAUAACCCUGUGAUUCAUAAGGGAAGAACCUUCAUGACUCAGUUACCUGUUAAAGGCACUGUCUCUCAAUACUGACAUACCGAGAAUUAAAUUUCAACACAUGUUUUGGAGGGGACAAAUAUUCAAACUCUAGCAACUUCCCAGAAAUUGACUCAUUUCUGUUUCCUAUGCAGCAGCUUCUUUACCUUUCAAAGGAUCUGGUCAUCCUAACUCCAGGCUGCUGAGACGGGUCUGAGCAAAUCUAAACUGUGUCCUGGAUUCCUGGAGACAAGCUUCAUGCAAACCCCAGCAUGAAUGUCUCAGACUCGCCAGACCCUGCUUAGCUGGCUGGUUGUCUGAGAGCACAAUUAGAAAAGAAAUGGCUCUGAGGAGACAGAGGAGAUGCGUAGCUAACUCUCACACACAAUCUCACAUACACCCACCUCACACCCUCACACACUUCUCAGACACUCACACACUCAAUCUCCGACACACACACACACAUUCAGUCUCACACACACAGCACAUUGCACCAAGCAUCUCCAGGUAGAGGUAAUUAAAAGUUGAUUUAUGUCCUUCUGAGGCACUAAGACUGUAAUGAAUUUCUCCAUGUUUCUGUGAUUGCUUCUGUAAAUGGGGAUGCUGGCUUUUCUGGGGAAAAAUAUGGUGAAAUAAAUCUAAAUUUUGCUGCAGUAAAUAUAUAUUAAGGAAUAUGUAACAUUGGCCUGGAUAUUACAGGAGUUAUAAAGAAAAAGCCACCUAUGUGCUUGCCCUAUACCAUACAUUUCCUCCAUGAUUACAGAAGGUGGGGAAGCAUUUGCCUUUGUAAGUGUAGUGGAUGGAGUUGAUGUGAAUCCAGAUGCAUCAGCAUUGGAGACAAAUAAAGGACAAACCUGGCAAGAUAUGAUGAAUCUGUGCUCAAUCAAAAUUCAUUCACCUGAAUUCCAAUUGGUUUAUUCUUGCCGGGGUAAGAAAUGGAACAGAAAUCACAGGCAUUUCAAAAGGUCAUGUCCAUCCAAUCAUCAACAUUCUCUCUGGAUGCCUCUCUAAAGUGCUCUUCUCUAAGUUUACCCUUUUAUAUUUUGUCUCUGAAACAUGGUAGGUAUCAGAAUUAGUCCUUCACAGUUAUAAAUGCUGCUGUGUUCAGAACAAAGUCUGAUCUUAGUUUCUGAUCUCUGAACCCACAAGGGGUGUCAGUCUGUGUCACUCCAGGCAAGUGCUUUCAUGUCUUGGGGCCUCAGCAAAUAAUGAAGCUAAAGCUAUAGCAGCUCUUAUAAACAAAGAUAGAUCCAAUGAUUAAAUCUAAAUUCAUCAACCAGAAACACUCAUUACUAUUCAAAGUGCCCAGGGCCACCAAGAAUUCUUCUAAUAAACUUUCUUUCUGAGGUUCCUAUGUCCUAAAAGCCACAUGUCACUUAUCAAUAAUAAUAAUACACCUUGCCAUUUGAGGUUGACCAAAAAUGUACUUAACUAUAAAGCAGUGCUUCUGAUGAGCAAGAGAAAACCUAUGUCUGCAGGAAAACUAUGAUGUAAUUCCAACCAAAAGUAAUGACAUUUAAGAUUUGUGUUAUGAAUAACUGUAUAUUUUAUGCUUGGAAAAAUACAUAGUGCUUAUAAUUUAUAGAAGCUGCCAUUUGACCCUGUGCUACCCUCAUAAACGCUUUUGGGAUUCAGGAGCCUUGAGCUGGGAAGUACUGGGUCUGGUGUUUUCUAAGGUUCUGGCAUUCUAUGCAAUUUGGUCUAAGAAAUUCUGGCUGCCAAGGGGAAAGGAUAUCAGGGACUCUCAUUUCUUGCCAGUGAGAAUGUCUAAUCUUUGUGAAGGUCAAUUUUGGAAUACAUUUUAAGAACCAUAAAGUGGGUAUAGAAGAAGUUCUAGUUUUAAUGAUGAUGGAGUAUCCUCCACUGGCCCAAUCCUCCUGCAGAUAAGAUUUAUAAACUCUGAACAAAAUAUUUUUUAAAAAUUGAAAGCACUGGCAGAGAGAAACUGGAGUUUGACCUUUGAAAUAAGGAACUGCACCCGUGCUUCCUAUGCUUACCCUGUUUUUAUCUAAGGGCUCUCUCUAGUCCGCCAGGCAGAAAGCUGUGAUCUUAUUGCUUGAGGUGUCAGAGGACAGAGUUUGGGGCUGCCAGAGUGACUGGAAAUUGAGGGGGAUAAAUCCUGGAAAGAGCUAAAGUUUUUAAAGCUGAAUAAUGAUUUCAACCAAUUGCCCAUUGCUCAAUGAUUGGGAGACAGAUUUUGGAGUUUAAAUCCUAUCAAUUUUUCCAAAAGAGCUGUUUGGAAACAUCUUGGGCAUUUCACUAAAAUCCUAGGAAGGGGUCAUACCUAAGAGUAAUAACUAUGCCCCCAGGAUUAAAGAUCCUCCCUAAGACUAAGGAAAAAUCUAAAUAGGCCUACCCUAAAGAGUAUAAAACCAAGGUUCUGCAACUUUAAGGUGACAUUCCAUAAUUAACUGAUUGAUGUUGCCAAAGGAAAACAAUAGAAUCCAGAAUCUCUAAAUCUAUUAUCCACAAAACACAGUAUAUAAUAAAAACUUAUAAACAUGCAAAGAAACAGAAAAAAGUGACUCAUACUCGAAAGAAAAAAAAAGUUAAUAGCAACAAACUCCAAGGUACUCUAGGUGUUGGAAUUAGUAGACAAGAAUUUUUGAGUAGCUAUUAUAAAUAUGUUCAAGGACAUAAAGGAAAAUAUUUUAAUAAUGAAGGAACAGAUAGAAAAUCAGAGAAGAAAAUAGCAACAACUUGGGGUAAAACAAAAAACAAAAACAAAUAGAGCUUCUAGAACUCAGAAAUGAAAAUUUCAGUGGAUAAGCCUAACAUUAGAUUGGAGGCAACAGAAGAAAAGGUCAGUGAACUGGCAGAGAGCUCAAUAUACGCUAUCCAAUCUUAAGAACAUAUAGAAAAUAUUUUUUAAUAAAAGAGUAUCAGCGACAUCUGGCAUAAUAUCACAUAGUUUAACAUAUGUGUAAUUAUAAUUUCAGAAGAGGAAUAGAGAGAAAAUGUAAUUGAAAAUGUCUUAUAUUUGAUGAAAAGCACUAACUUAUAAACCCAAGGAUCUCAAAACACUCCAAAGAAGAUGAACACACACACACAGAGGGCACACACACACUCACACACACAUGCACAACACAGUCAAACUGUUGAAAAAUUAAGAGAAAGAGAAAAAUCUUGAGCAGCCAGAGGCACAUUACCUGUGUGGGGCCAAUGAUAUAAAUCAUAUCGGUUUUUUUAUCAGAAGCAAUGAGGUCAGAGAUGACAAAAUUUUGUGGUAACGAAAUAAUAAAUGCUGAAAUUCUAUGUCCAGUAAAAUAUAUCAUUCAAAAAAUGAAGGUAAUAUAGACAUUUUCAGUUAAGUGAAGCUGAGAGAAUUCAUCACCAGGAUAUAUGAAAGAAAGUUCUUCAGGUUGAAGAGAAAUGACAUCAGAUGGAAACUUGGGUAUUGAGAAUGGAAAGCAGAUACCAAGAUGUUAACAACCAUGGAUAGGUAAAAUAUGUGUGUAACCAUAAAAGACUACUCUCUUUGUCUUUCUCUAAUUUCUUUAAAAAAUAAUUGCCCAUUGCUUAUCCCUGUUGUCUAUGUCAUGUUAUGCAAAGUGUAUUCUCUAACUAAGUGGGUAUUAGAAAUCAACAACCAUAUAAUAUCUUAAAAAUUUUCAUGCAAAAAUUAAGUAACACACUUUUAGGUUUAUCAAUAUAGACUUAAAAAUAAAAGCCUAAAACUAUAAAACUUGUGGAAGAAAGCAUAAACGAUCUCUGCUACCUUGGGUUAGGCAAAGAUUUCUUAGGAUACAAAAAACACUACUCAUACAUUAAUUAUACAUUUAUUUUAGUAAUAAAUUUAUUUUCAUGAAAUUCUUCUCUUUGAAAGAAAGAAAAUGAAAAAGAGAUAAGCCAAAGACUAGGAGAAAAUAUUCACAAUAUAUUUAUUUGGCAAAGGACUUAUAUCAAGUAUACAUGAAGAAUUUCUAUAAAUCCAUAAUAAAAAAUACAUGGCCAAAUAUAAAAAUAGGCCUGGAACAGCCUAGAGAUAGGUCUAAUAAAAGGCCUAAAACAGACACUUUGCAAAUGGUCAAUAAGCACUUGCAAAGGUAGUCAACAUAAUGAGUAAUUGGGGAAAUGCAAAUUAAAACCAGAACUAAAUGCCGUUUCCCAUGUACUAGAACAGCUCAAAUUAUAGAGAUUAAAGACACAAACUGUUGGUGAGGACAUGAAGCAAUUCUCAUACUUUGUUAGUGGGAACAUACGCCACUUUGGAAAAUUAUUUAGUAGUUACUUAUACAUUAAACAUCCACUUAUGUAUGGUUUAGCAAUACUUCUACUUUCCAAAGAGAAGUAAAAACACUUGUCCACAAAAUGACCUGUACUUGUUCUUACCAGCUUUAUUCAUGAUACAGUAGUCCCUGCUUUUCCACAGUUUUGUUUUCCAUGGUUUUUGCUACCUGUGGUUAAUCAUGGUCCAAAAUUAUUAAAUGGAAAAUUCCAGAAGUAAACAAUUCAUAAGUUUUAAAUUGUGCCUUCUUCUCAGUAUCAUGAUGAAAUCUCGUGAUGUCCUGUUUUAUUCCACCAGGGACAGUGAUACUCCCUCUUUCCAGUGUCUCCACGCCAUAUACACUUCCCACCCAUUUGUCACUUAGUAGCCCUCUCAGUUAUCAAAUCCACGGAUAGUGUCAAUACUAUCCACAGUCAGUGUAUAUAGGGGUCAGUACUGUCCACAGUUUUAGGCAUCUACUGGGGAGUCUUGGAACCUAUCCUGUGGAUAGGAGGGGGACUACUGUACUACAAAAUUGGAAAUAGCCCAAAUGGCCAUCAGCAGGUGAAUGACUAAACAAACUGUGCUAUAAUCAUACAAUGAAUUACUUCUCAGCCAAUCUGGGGACACAUACAAGUCACCUCGGACCUUAAUGCUGUGCCUGUGGUGAGAACAGGUCAUGAGCAACCCCAGCCAUAGACACCUAGGCAGGGACCCCAUGAGGGUGGCACCUAAAGACCAGGAGGGAGAAGCUCUUCUUCCUUGGGAGGCCAGCCCCUUCUCCCCAGAUGCCACAGGGCACACACACCCACUUCUCCUGGCACCUGGGCUGCAUUUUGGGAAAGGAGGGGAGUGGGGAAUCCUUGAGUGGCAUCAGAAACUUAGAACCUUAAUGAACGUAAGUUUUAAUACAGUAGAGAUUACUAAUCUUUAGUUAGUAAAAUGAAAUAUUUUGUUGCCACCAAUAGAAAGGGGCUGAUAUGGUUUGGUUCUGUGUCCCCACCCAAAUCUCACCUUGAAUUGUGAUAAUCCCCAUGUGUCAUAGGAGGGACCCAGUGGGAGGUAACUGAAUCUUGGGGGCAGGUUUUCACCAUGGCAUUCUUGUAGUAGUGAAUAAGUCUCAUGAGAUCUGAUGGUUUUAUGAAGGGGAGUUCCCCUGUACAUGCCUCUUGCCUGCUGCCAUGUAAGAAGUCCCUUUGCUCUUCCUUCGUCUUCUGCCAUGAUUGUGAGGCCUCCCCAGCCAUGUGGAACUGUGAGUCCAAUAAACCCCUAUCCUUUAUAAAUUACCCAUUCUCAGGUAUGUCUUUAUUAGCAGUGUGAAAACAGACUAAUACAGGGACCUUAAGUGUAAGACAAGUUUAGACAUAUACAUAAAAAAAUUAAAGUUAAAUAUUUUUGCACUUCUGACAUGCAGCUGAGCUAUGCUUGUGUUUCUAGAGGAACUAAAUGUCAGCGAUGGGCUCUGAGAGGAGGUGAAAGGAGGUAAGAGGAGAGACCUGAGUGUCCAGAGACCGCAAGCACUCCACGUCUAGAUUUUCAGGUUCCUAUUAUUAUUAUUAUAAUACUUUUAAGUUCUAGGGUACAUGUGCACAAUUGCACAUGUAAUAAAAAUGCUACAGCAGGUCUCAUUGAGCUGUCUUAGCUUAAGGUAAGCAAUGCUCCCUUUGUAAUUCAAGUUAAUCAGUGCAAUUUUGCCUCCAGAGAAAGGCUGUUUUCCACACUGACUUAGUAUGGGCUCUGAGAAACAAUAUGUCUGCAUUUUCUCAAAUAUUACAAUUUAUGGUUAAAAUAAAAUCUUGUUAUUCUCACGAAAUCCUGAAGGUCUUUAAGUGUUUUCCUUCCAUGUCAGAGUCCAAAAUCCUGGAAAGGCCCUGGUCUCUUCUCCAGGAAGGAAUGGCAGGAGGAACCUCCCCUUCACCCUCCCCUCACCCUACCCACCCCGCCCCCUUACCAUCAAGAAUAACCAGUGGAUGAGAGGGGCAUGCCAGUGACCUUAGAUUCAAGAUAAAAGCACGUGACAUUCUUUCAAAGCCAGAUAAUUCUAUAGACAAGUUGGAGCUUGGGUGAGCAACCAUCCUAGUUUCCCCAGGGCUAUUUGGGUGUUAACACUGAAAGUCCCACAUCUCCAGAAAUGUCUCAGACCCAGCAAGCAAACCAGGAAUGGUUCUCCUGCCAGUAGGUCAGGACUUGUGGGUCAGAGGUCCUCCCUGCCCCCAGGGCAGCUGCCUCCUCUCCUGACCGUUGGAAAGGGCUCUGAUGCACUGAUCUACACCCUGGUUCUCCGGGCUGUGUGUUAUCUCUGACAGCAGCCCCUGUGCCGCCAGCCUACCACCCCCACACCGUGUUAAAUUUCAACCACAAUCUGCUGCCUUGGCUCUUCUUGGUAUCUCUAGCCCAACGACAGCAGGCUACUUCCCAAGAACACCGAGAGUUUAGAAAGUUUUUUGUUUUUUUGUUUUAACAUCUUUGAGUGAUCUGUAAAUUUACUAACCUAUCAAUUCUGAUGAUGGAGUCUCUUUUCUUUGUUGUUGCUGUUGUCUAAAUUAGAGCUAUAUAAUUCCAAAAUGCUUGAACAUGAUAUGGCACCAACAUUCACUUCACUACCCCAAGCUUUUACCCUCAAGUAAAAGAUGAAUUCAGGAACAUGAGUUUUUUUGUUUAGUUUCUGGUCAGUGGGCAUCCUGGUGGGGUAAAACAUAGUAACAAGAAAAGGAAGAACAUGUAGAUGGUCAUUGCUUUUCAGGUGCAUUGCAGAGGCUUCUCUCUGAAGGGUGACUACAGUUCUAUACGGCCAUGUCAGUCCACCGGCAUUCAUUCAUUCAUUUAUUCAUUCAUUCAUUCAACACAUAUACAUUGCUUGGCAAAGUGCUUCUGAGAUGCAACCAAAAUAAAAACCCUGCCAGGAUUCAUUAUGGCUGUGGUCUCCCUGUACUAAACCUCACAUCCAUUUUUGUAUUUGAUGUGUCCUGCAAACUGCUGUGUAAAUGGGAGUUUUAUGAGCAAAUAGAAGGACCUGGCAAUAAUGCUGCCGUCUUAAGGAAUAGAAGAGCCUGUUGUUGCACAAUAGAGAGCCAGGGACAGAAAUCGGUGAAAUCGGCUCCAACACUGCCCCCCCCCCAAUACACCCCAGGCACACUUCUGCUUGACAGAUGCCAAGGCCUUGAUGCCAGGACUGGGUUUCCAAGGCACCAACCCAUUUGUAAGGUGGCACUACAAGGAUUCCUCAAGUCCUGAAUUAAUUCCACAUAGCAGACAAUCCUGCAUCACAGAUUUGGAGUGCAAGCAACAGAAUUUGCAUCUGUGAACUCCAGCAGAGGGCCUAGGUGCUAACAGUUCUGGCAGUUCUCUGAGCCAUGCAAAAGACUGGGUCAUCGAGUUUGGGAAUGAGAUUGCUAGGGGCCUGAGAAUAGGAAUGGCAAAAUGUGGUCAGAGUUCAUUGCUGAGGUGAACAAGUAAGCUCCCAAGUCUCAGAGAGCAGCAUCCCAGCCACAGACCAUGCUGGCAUGUACCAAGAAAGGAGAGGCAGCACUGGUCCUCUUGCUCCUGCGUAGGCUGGCAUGUGGAUCCACCCCUUCUCAAGGUAUCACACAAGUGCAGGGGCCAGAGGAAACCAGGGGCUGCAGAGGUAAGGGUCAAUGUGGGGUGGCCCCAAAAACAGCUCUCCUGACAAAGUUUUGUGGCUUUUUUUGUUGCUAGGCUGCUUCAAGUAUCACUCAGGGAUGUAGAAGACUGUCUCAUAGGUCUUAACUAUAACUAUCUGAGUCUGAAUAAUGGCUCCCAAAGACAUCCACAAAUCCCUGGAACCUGAGAAUGUUACCUUACACGGCAAAAGGGACUUUGCAGAUGUGAUUAAGUUGAAGAUCUUGAGAUAGAGAGGUAGUCCUGGAUUAUCUGAGUGGGCCCUUAACGUAACCACUGGGGUCCUUAUAUGAAGGAGGCAAGAAGGUUAAAGAAGGGAUAGCCAUGUGACGAUGGGGCAGACACUGGAGUGAUGGACUUUAAGUGGAGGAGGGGUCCACAAGCCAAGGAACGUUGGCCAUGUCUAAAAGCCGGAACAGACAAGGAAGCUGAUCUCCCCAAAGCCCUGCCGAAACCUUGACUUUAGCCCAUUGAAACAGAUUUCAGGCUUCUGGCCUUUGGGAACUGUGAGAGAAUACAUUUGUGUUUUGUGUUAAGCUACCAAGGAUGUUAGAGCAGCCAUGGGAAAGGGGUGCUGUUUGCAUGAGAAAAGCAGGAAGACAGAGAGAGGAACUGUGUCAGCCUCCUGGUCUGUGGGGAGCCACAUCCCAGGAACCCCAACCUCUGCCUUUUGCUGGGAAACAUUCUCCCAGUCUCCCAGUCUGAAACACCUCCCUCAAAUCCCAAAAAGACAAUGGUGGGAAUCCUCCGAGGUCCAGCAGAGCCUUGGGACAAGAUGCAAUCUUUCGCUAGCCCCAAGUGGGUGGGUUCACCCACCCUCAGCUCCAGCAGGUAGGCCCUUCUGAAUCUCAGGCUGGCUGAAUAGGUUCCAGACGCAGGAGGGAGCCCCCCCACCCCCUCUGGCAGCUGGAGUGUGUGCUGGAGAUCUGGGCAUGGGCUUGCCCAGGCAAAGAGUGGAGAAGCUUUUAUAGGAAAGCUGUAAAAGCAAGCAGGGUUGACUUGGGCACUCCCCCAGUUCCCAUGAGUCUGGGGCCCAUGACUGGCUCAUCGAUUGCUUGAACAAGCACACAUCAGAGACAUCCAGAUCAGAAUGGAAGCUGCUCAAGGCUCAGAUGAUCCCUGAGCCACCAACGUUAUCCUGGAGGUUCUUAUCACAGAGUAUGGGAAAUGCCAUACUGGGCUGUGGGUUUGCAGAAAUCCUCCAAAAGAUGCAGAAACAAGUCCAGCUGAAAAUGGAAUGCUUCCUGAUGGCUCAUUUUGUUCCAGCCUCAACCCAAAGGGUCCUGGAGCAAGAAGGAGGGAUUCCCAGUGAUAUCUGGUGAGUAAGAGAGAAAAGGAAGCGGGUACAUCCAAAAACACAAGCACAGUCUGUGAACACCGUCAGACAAGAGGGCCUGAAUGGCGCCUGUGGUGAUUGGGUCUUUUUGUUUGCUUUUGUUUUUGUCAUUGUUGUUUUGAGUCAGUUUAGGAGUUUUUUUUUAGUAAUGACUACUGGGAAACUCAGAGGGAAACACAUACACACACACACACACACACACACAAACACAUGAAAGAACAACAAUGCGGGGUGAUGACCACGGCUCAACCAAACGACAUUUUCAUCAUCCUGACACAUCUUGUUGAAACGGAAACUGAUCUGGGCCUAAAGUCCUCACAUCAUUUUUCCUGAUUCUCUUUGUCUGUUUUUAAAAGUAACGUUCAAUUAGAGAAAUAAUGCAUAGCCCUCCUUGUAAAAUACUACAACGUGAUAAAUAAGGCUCAAGAACUCCUUGGCUGCUGUCUGGACCGAGGGUCCCUCCCCAAGCCAGCCACUGUGCUCUAUUUUCUGUGGGUCUUUGCAGUCUGGGUCGAACUUUUUAAGCAUUUCAUUGCUACUACUUAGCUUUUGAGAGUGGGUUCAGCGCUCGUGACUGAAGCAUAUGCUUAGAGAACAGUGUCCCUGAAGUCAAAUCUCAAACUUUGCCUCAAUGCCUCUUGCCUCAGAAGGGCCCAGAAAGGUCUGAAUUGCCCUGAGAGUUUUCCUCCAGACAAUAGCUCAGCCUUCUGUGCCCAGCCAUGUUUGCAAAACUUUCUCACACACCCCUCAGCUAGUCCUCCACAAUCUAAGCCUAGGCUGCUGGGAUACACAUUUCUAUUUUGCAGAUAAUGAACAGAAGUCUCCACAGAGUUAAGAGUCUUAUACAAAACUACCUACCCUGGCUGGUUUUUCCACUAUAGCAGGGACUCCUUUCCUCCAAGUCCCGCCUCCACACCGAGGUCUCAGGUGUCGAGGGCCUUCCAGGCAUGAAUGUCCCACACCCGUGCUCCUGUCAGAGUCCUCACACUCUCUGACCAAGCUGCCUAAGUUCCAGGAAGCUCUAGGCCUGUGUUCUCCCAGGGAGGGGGGCUUCCCAUCUAGUCCCUCAAACCAGGAGCCCGGGGGUAUUUGUGAGGUUCUGGGAGAUUCUAGGAGACCAUAAAUACCAGACCUUUAAGCAAGCAUGGUCAGCAGCUGGUGAUAAAAUUGAAGGAAAGAGACACAGCAGCCUGCAUUUCAACCCUGCCCUCUCCACACCCUCCAAACUGAGUACCUGGGGUUGCAGGGAGGCAGGGCCACCAAAGUCCCCAGUGGGACCGCAGUGUGGCUCUGAGGACGGAGCUGGAUAUUGUAAGGUUGGCAGCAACUCAGGCCAGUACUCUCAAGUGGGAACAGUUGGGAAAACAGGUAGAAAGAAAAGACAGCAUGAGAAUCUCUAGGACGGGAGCCAGCGCAGUCUUCCCAAAGAAUAUCGUGCAGACAUGCUCUGCACACAAACCUUCCCUUCCUAGAGAUCCAGAAUAUCUAGGAAGAUUCAUGUUCAUCAGCAUUAUGAAAGCCCUGAGAAGUCCUGCAGUCAUGGAAUAAUAUAAUAAUAACGAUAAUAAUAGCCCAAGGUUUUCUAAACUUACUAGUCCAGAGAAUUCUUUUCUAGCGAAAUGCCUAUUGCUGUCUCCCCAUGGAGCACAUGUUGUGACUGCUGGCCUGGCCCAUCUGGGGUAAGGAGCGAUGUUGGUCACAGUGCUUCUUAAGCAGCUGUGAACUUCCACAGCCUCACUGCAAUGGCCCUGGCCCCCAAUCUUACUUCUGAUAGGUUAGACAGAUGCAAUGUCUAAAACCCUCAAUUACUGAUAACACUUUUAGUGAUGACUUAGAUCUCAAACUAUGGGGUCUCAAACUAUGGCCCGUAGGCCAAAUCUGGCCCUCUGCCUGUUUUUAAAAAUAAAGUUGUAUUAAAACACACCUUCUGCCAUUCCUCUAUGUAUUACCGGUGGCUGCUUCAUGCUACAAUGGCAGAGUUGAGCCAUUGUGAUAGAGACCAUGCAGCCCAGCAAAGCCUAAAAUGUUUACUCUCUGGUCUUUAGAAAAAAUGUUUGCUGAACCCUGGCUUAAACAGAAAAUCAAAACUCACCUGAAGGACUGGUUCUGUAAAGUCUCAAUAGCAUGGGAAAUUUAGAUUUAAAAUCUCUGCAAUUUGGACCAAUCCACGUUCUGCCGUGGUUGUGUUGUUGAUGUAACGGGCCCAGACUACAGCUCAAGUGUAGACAAGGGUGUGUGUGUGUGUGUGUGUGUGUGUGUGUGUUCAUGGAGAGACUGGGAAUGGGAACAGGAUGGGGAGGAAAGAGAAAUGCUUUAUGGCUUAGGAAUAUUGAAUUCGGAGCCAGAGCAGGGGAAGUUGUGCCACCCUAUAAGCCUCAGCUUUGGUUGUAUGAGAAACCUGGAGAUAAUGUAGCUGAUGGCACAGGGUUGUUGUGGGCAGAAAAUGAGCUCCUGUGAGCAGAGCACCUCUGCUGUCUCUAGGAGACUCAGCAAGUCCUGGGGACUCCUCCGCAUUUCUUCUUCAGUGCCCAGGGUGCAUUAAGUGCUCAACAAACGGGCUCCUAUUCGGGAAUUACUCAAGCGACACACAAUCUUAUUUGGGGAACAGACAAUAUCUGGGCAAGAUAAAACUUCCCUCUUUCCUUUCAAGGUUGGACAUUACGUGCUAAUUUGGGUCAUCUCCUGAGUGUGACCUUCAGCCAGCCAUUGGUCACCUUACGUGCAAGUAGGGCAUGAGUGGCAUUCCAUGUAUAAACCAUGUGACAGCUCGGAAAGCAGACGGUCCUGUAAGUGUAACCCACAGACUGAAAAUGACCCAUGGCAAAGGGCAAUGCGUGCAUGAUUUUUAUGCUGGAAUUCAUGAUGGAACAUUCUGGAUUCCUCCCAGCAAACCUGAGCUGGCCUGCUCUGUUGGGCAGCGAGGUCUGCUCAGAGAGACGCUGGUGUUUAUCUGCCACAUCCUUUAGUUUUUAUUGCACUCAGUCGCCUUGUAUAUUUAAUGAGGAAAUUUGCUGAAAUGGUUACUAAGCCACAGGGGGAAAAAAGGAAGGAGGUGGGGAGCCACUCUCCGACCCUGAAGUUGGCAAAGUUGCCUCAUUAAUCAGACCUGUGCUGGGAUACGACGUUAUUCAUGUUUAGGGCAUUAAAACUUGAAGCUAAAAUUGUAGCAGGCGGUAAUUUGAGUACAGGCAGCCUGUCUCUCUGCGAUAGAUUUAUGAUGUUUACUCAACAAUGGAUGGGAACUUUCAGGGAAAGACUGACCGCCCCCAACCCCCGCCUUUUCAAAACACAUUGUCAGGCCACAGUGAUCAAGUUCCCGAUUUUUGUGUGAGUAUGCAGAGCCUUUUUAAAAGUCUUCAGGGUGAUAAGAGCAGACUGUAUUCGAUCUUCUCCAUUCUGAGCUCAGCGGAAAAUAUGCAAGGCAGAUGGAAUGAGCUGUCUACCAGGCGAAUGGUGGUUGCCACGCUCUCUGACUACACUGCUCUUCCUGACGUGACCGGUGCAGUGCCACCCCCACCGGCCUUGAUGUUGAAUCUGGAACAUCUGGUCACUGUGUCACCUCAUCAGGACCUCAAAGAAUUCCCGACAAAAGCUUUCAUGUUCCCGGCUGAGGGUCUUGCUUUCCUGUGCUUCAAGGUUACAAUUCUUGGAACUGAUUGCUGGGAAUUUCAGGAAAGUGAGGGUUCCCAUUUUCCAAGUUUUCCCACCUCCUUUCUGUCAUGACACACAGACAGAUGGAGGCCACAUCCAUCUCUGUCAGUCCAGGCAGACUUUGCCUUCAGGUCUCACAUAGCAAAGGAAGAGGCAUCAGCCUAGCCUUGGGUCUUGCCACUCAGAUGGGAAGCCCUUUCUGUAAGAGGAUUCCUUUAAGAUGUGGCACAAAGAACAUUUAUACUGCACUUGGACAGGAAGGCCCCCAAGUGCAUGAAAGCACUUUAGAGUGUUCAUCUCCUCUCCCUGGCACAGGUGUAGCAGAGGUGAGACCCAGUUCUGGUCACUCUGGCUGUUAGCUUUGUUUUUAGCUUUGCUUUUAGCUUUGCCCUGGGCCUAGUGUGUUGGUGAUGAAUUGCAGAUAAUACCACCAACCACAUAGGGCUGUUUUGCAAACUAAGUUGACAUUUUAAGCAGUUUGGUUAAACAAACUGACUUUGAGUAUGGGCUCUGCCACCUCCUAAGGGAGUCAUUUUGGGUAAGUUACUGGCUCCCUCUGAUCUUUAUUUCACCAUUGUGAGAUGGGAUGAAGCUAUUAUCUGCCUCACUGGGCCAUUGCUGAGUAUGUGGAAGUGCUUUUUUUUUUUUUUAAAGACAAAAUAUGCUAGUAGAUUUUCAAUAAAUGUUAGGUUCUAUUCUCAAUAUUAUGGAAAGAUGCACUUCUUGAAUUUGGGGAAGAAACAAAGGAGAUUGUAUUUUAUGCCAAAGUCAUAAGCGCUGACGCAUAUCAAACCACAAAUAUUUCUAUCAUCCAGGCUGUGGGGGGAUCAACAUGUCACCCCAUCAUGUGACAGUUAGAUAAAGGAUAUGAAAGUCCUGCCUAGAGUGGACACUAUAAUUUUGUAAGCUUUUCUUUAAGAGGGUCUCUGACUUUUCAGUCUUCUGUGUUUGUUUUGUCAUUUAAGUUCAUGUGCUGCAACAGAUUUAAAGUAGACACUACUUCCCUCUGCCCUGCCCGGCGGUUACACAUGAGAAUUUUUCAGUUUGAACUAAAUACAAGGAAUAUUAAGUUAGACUUAAAGAAAUAGCCCCCAACUUGCAACAAGUGGGGCAGUAAAUAAAGGGAGCCCUUUUCUACAGGGGCUGAAUGGGAGAGGAGAGCUAAAGGAGUUUGGGAGGUGAAAGCAACUGUAAUGAUUUAUCAUCAGGGAAGACUUAUUUACCCAUGGAAGGAAUACUUUAAAAUCUACCUUUCUCAUAAUAAGGUAUGUUCAUAUGCACAGCACAACUUAAAUACAAGUAUUUAUGUAGUUUUGCAAGGAGCUUGCAAGGUUAGAAACACACACCACAUAUGAACUAUGUUCAGUAACACUACCUAUGCAGUCUUUGAAAAACUUCUAUAGAUCAUCUGGCUAGGGAACUGUGAGUCUCAUCUGUACCCACACGAUCCCAAAGAGGAGGGGCCCUAUAGAAACAAGAACCAACCAACAAAAAGCAGUGACAACAGGCACCAUGACAACAAAAGGAGUUUUGAAGUGCAUCUUCAAAUAGCACACAAUUUUCCAAUUUAAAUAGUUUGGAAUGAAUCAAAGGGAAAAAAGCAUUAAUUAGAUACAACUGAAUUUCUCGAAAGUAUAUUAACACAGCCUACAAAUAAAUCCUCAAAUGUACCACUCUCAACAAAUCUUGCAUUGACUGACAUUCUCUGUCAACUAGAGAGGAUGCAGGCAGGAAAAUGAAUGAAAUUUCCAUUCUUCAGUGUUUACCUGAUGUCUCAGGUUGUUUGCUUUGGGGGAGUGGCUGUUUGCAGGGCUAUGGGAAUUUGUGAAACACUUUGCUAGUAAAGCCAGCUGAGGCCUUCGGGACCAAAUCGCCAAAUGAAUGACAGAGGAUCCUUGCAGUAGCUUUGUCUGUCUGCAGAGCGGACUCCUGUGAGUGUUCAUCACAUUUAAAGAAGUAACAUGCCGGGAGAACGGAAAAGGGUGCUAAUGAUUUACAAGCGAAGAUAAGAUAUUAUUAGGAGUACGAGGUCAAUCAGAUAAAGAUACCAUACACACAACUUGGACUUGGGCCCAUUCUUUAAUUUAUUCUGAAAGGAAGAGGAGGAGGAAAGGAUGGGGCCUGAGAAUGUUAGCAAUUGGCUUCCCGCAAGCUGCCUGUUUUAACACUCUUUGUGAUUUAUUUCAAUCUCAUCUUUUACAAAGGUACGGCAAUUUGUUCCAUUUUCCUGCUUCCUUCUCCUCUUCCUCCUUCUUCUAAGAUGGCAGAGAGAAACUUUCUUACAGGUCCCAGCAACACUGCCGUAUAGCUUAGAAGACUGGAGAUAUUUAUUCUCAAUGUACUCAGUUUACUUUCCAACUGGAGCAUUAUUUGAAAGACGGUCUGCCAGCAUUCAACUGAACAGACACAAAUGCAGGUAUGAAUAGUGAGGGGAGAGAGUGGUUUGAAGGCUGGGGUUGCUGUCAGGUCUGAUGAACCCUCCAGCACUCGCCAUCAUCGGCUACAAUGUUGAGGAGACUCCAUCACAACCUCAGAUCAAGAGUGUUUCUUUGUUCCUCCAAGCCUUCCAAAGCACUUUAUGGACCUUGUAUUUGGACAACACCUCCAUGAAGCUUGGAAGCCAAUAAGUCACAUCUUCAUUGAACAAUUCAUGAAAUUACAGGGCAGAGGUGAAAUAUGACCUUCGAGGGAAAAGCUGGCGGUGGAGCCCAGAACUUCAUUUUGCUGGGAUGGUUCCCUGCCGUUAUUCUCCUUUCUCACGAAAGGAUCCUGCAGUCAAUUUACGGCAUUUGUAAAUAAAGGCGGCUGUGUCAGCCUCCUGCCUGGAGAAAGGAAGGCAGCACCUUGAAUGCUGAGAGUGUAUCUCAGGCUUACUCUAUACUUCCAUUACAAUAUCUCAGAAGUUAUAACAGAUGAAGAUGGGGCGAGGUGGUCAAGGUAAGACCGGGGUCAGCAGGGCAAUGGCGUGUGAGGAGUUUCUCAUUAGAAAACACAAAUGGGGAUUUGGAUUGGUUGUUUUUCUUGUCUCAGAAAUCUUCUUCAGAAUGACCUCCCCACCCCUGCUUUGUCUUUGAAAGUUUUGCCAUGUUUGAAUUGGCAUACUUACACAUUGUAAUGAUUUUUCUUUCAUCAAUUAAAAACAAAGCUAUUUUUUGGCCAAGUGUCUCCUGAAGCAAAGUUAAGAAACAGAAUAAGAAGGUUUUGAGUCACGCACAAGACUGAAAAUUAGCUAAUAAAAACCCUUUUCCCCCCUAUUUCCUCAAAACUCAGUUCUCAGAAAAACAAUUCUGGAUGCACCCUGUUUACCAGCAAGGUUAAAAGUUCAAGAAAAGAAAGACAUCACAAUAUUUACACUCAGGCAAAUCACUGUUCAUCUACCACGUCUGACCCUGCAGAUUUGGGAGCGGGCCGCUGUCCUGCCUGUCAAAGGGAGAGGAAGCAGUGCCUGUCUGGCUGGCCCUAUAUUUGCUCCUGUUGUCUCACUCUCUGCCACCAGUUUUGUUUUUUGUUGUUUGUUUGUUUUUGUUUAUUUGUUUUUUCUAAGACUGCCGGCAUCCCUUCUUUCUAGAUCGUCUUGUCUUUCUUUUGAUAUUUUAUUUUCAUGGAUAAGAUCGCUAGGACCCCAUCAGAGUAUUUUUCUGAUGGCACGAUGCUACUACUUUCUGAUAUAUUUAUUUCAUUCUCAAUAUUUGAAUCUAUGAAAUAAAAUAAUAGUGAUAAUAGCCAC
This is a long non-coding RNA of Homo sapiens (human), 18143 nucleotides long. RefSeq lists it as uncharacterized. The transcript has 2 exons. NCBI's taxonomy places the organism in Eukaryota, Metazoa, Chordata, Mammalia, Primates, Hominidae. The record is from RefSeq and is a predicted model, not a curated record.